Molecule: ribosomal RNA, 423 nt
Filed under: uncultured bacterium
Lineage: Bacteria
Description: bacterial SSU rRNA
Rfam family: Bacterial small subunit ribosomal RNA
Source: RNAcentral
UGAGGAAUAUUGGUCAAUGGGCGCGAGCCUGAACCAGCCAAGUAGCGUGAAGGAUGAAGGUCCUAUGGAUUGUAAACUUCUUUUAUAGCAGAAUAAAGUGACCCACGUGUGGGUUUUUGUAUGUAUGCUAUGAAUAAGGAUCGGCUAACUCCGUGCCAGCAGCCGCGGUAAUACGGAGGAUCCGAGCGUUAUCCGGAUUUAUUGGGUUUAAAGGGUGCGUAGGCGGAAAGAUAAGUCAGCCUGUGAAAGUUUGCGGCUCAACCGUAAAAUGGCAGGUGAUACUGUUUUUCUUGAGUGUACAUAAGGUAGGCGGAAUUCGUGGUGUAGCGGUGAAAUGCGUAGAUAUCACGAAGAACUCCGAUUGCGAAGGCAGCUUACCGGGGUACAACUGACGCUGAUGCACGAAAGUGUGGGUAUCAAACA